AACAGGGUAAGGAACUUGGUUCCUCGAAUAACUUCUGGCACAGACAUCUGAGGGCAUGGCCGUCUACGAAGAAAAUGUAGCCAUUGGUGCCAUCUAUCGACCACAGGCAAAGAUUGGCGAUCCGUUAGAUACCGACCGAGUUAUAGGCAAAACUUGGUGCAAAAAUGAGGAAAAUUUUACAUUUUCUCAAACAGGGUAAGGAACUUGGUUCCUCGCAUAACUUCUGGCACAGACAUCUGAGGGCAUGGCCGUCCACGAAGAAAAUGUAGCCAUUGGUGCCAUCUAUCGACCACAGGCAAAGAUUGGAGAUCCGUUGGAUACCGACCGAGUUAUAGGCAAAACUUGGUGCAAAAAUGAGGAAAAUUUUACAUUUUCUCAAACAGGGUAAGGAACUUGGUUCCUCGAAUAACUUCUGGCACAGACAUCUGAGGGCAUGGCCGUCUACGAAGAAAAUGUAGCCAUUGGUGCCAUCUAUCGACCACAGGUUAAAGAUUGGCGAUCCGUUGGAUACCGACCGAGUUAUAGGCAAAACUUGGUGCGAAAAUGGGCCUUAGUGGAUUGACAAAUUUAUAGAUUUUUUCAAUUUUUUUCAUUAUUUUUUACCUUUUUUUAAUUUAAAGCAUUGUUUGAGUGAAAAGGAACUUAUUGCAACAAU
Long non-coding RNA from Anopheles funestus (African malaria mosquito), 655 nucleotides. RefSeq lists it as uncharacterized. The record is from RefSeq and is a predicted model, not a curated record. NCBI's taxonomy places the organism in Eukaryota, Metazoa, Arthropoda, Insecta, Diptera, Culicidae. The transcript is spliced from 3 exons.